AAAAAGAUAAGCUAAAGAAGCUAAUGGGCUCAUACCUCAUUUAUGGGAUAAUUCCUCUUUUUG
Molecule: transfer RNA, 63 nt
Filed under: Astacopsis gouldi
Lineage: Eukaryota; Metazoa; Arthropoda; Malacostraca; Decapoda; Parastacidae
Description: tRNA-Met
Source: RNAcentral